GACGGACGCUGGCGGCGUGCUUAACACAUGCAAGUCGAACGGAAAGGCCCCACCUUGCUGGGGUACUCGAGUGGCGAACGGGUGAGUAACACGUGGGUGAUCUGCCCUGCACUCUGGGAUAAGCCUGGGAAACUGGGUCUAAUACCGGAUAGGACCGUGCUUUAGUGUGUGCGGUGGAAAGUUUUUCGGUGCAGGAUGAGCCCGCGGCCUAUCAGCUUGUUGGUGGGGUAAUGGCCUACCAAGGCGGCGACGGGUAGCCGGCCUGAGAGGGUGUACGGCCACAUUGGGACUGAGACACGGCCCAGACUCCUACGGGAGGCAGCAGUGGGGAAUAUUGCACAAUGGGCGCAAGCCUGAUGCAGCGACGCCGCGUGCGGGAUGACGGCCUUCGGGUUGUAAACCGCUUUCGGCAGGGACGAAGCUUUUGUGACGGUACCUGCAUAAGAAGCACCGGCUAACUACGUG
RNAcentral lists this ribosomal RNA (465 nucleotides) under uncultured bacterium. RNAcentral describes it as "partial 16S ribosomal RNA". It matches the Rfam family "Bacterial small subunit ribosomal RNA", at positions 28 to 507 of the family's 1533-position model. The record is from RNAcentral.